RNAcentral lists this ribosomal RNA (256 nucleotides) under uncultured bacterium. RNAcentral's name for it is "partial 16S ribosomal RNA". It matches the Rfam family "Bacterial small subunit ribosomal RNA", at positions 98 to 354 of the family's 1533-position model. The record is from RNAcentral.
CGGGACGGGUGAGUAACGCGUGGGUAACCUGCCCCAUAGAGGGGGACAACAGCUGGAAACGGCUGCUAAUACCGCAUAGCAGGGAAGAGACGCAUGUCUUUUCCUUCAAAGAUUUAUCGCUAUGGGAUGGACCCGCGUCUGAUUAGCUAGUUGGUAGGGUAACGGCCUACCAAGGCGACGAUCAGUAGCCGGCUUGAGAGAGUGGACGGCCACAUUGGGACUGAGACACGGCCCAGACUCCUACGGAAGGCAGCAG